GUCAGCGUUUAUAGGGAUAUAACACUGACUUGUAAUCAGUAGGUCCCGAGUUCGACUCUUGGUGCCGGCA
Molecule: transfer RNA, 70 nt
Filed under: Halopseudomonas salegens
Lineage: Bacteria; Pseudomonadati; Pseudomonadota; Gammaproteobacteria; Pseudomonadales; Pseudomonadaceae
Rfam family: tRNA
About the family: Transfer RNA (tRNA) molecules are approximately 80 nucleotides in length. Their secondary structure includes four short double-helical elements and three loops (D, anti-codon, and T loops). Further hydrogen bonds mediate the characteristic L-shaped molecular structure. tRNAs have two regions of fundamental functional importance: the anti-codon, which is responsible for specific mRNA codon recognition, and the 3' end, to which the tRNAs corresponding amino acid is attached (by aminoacyl-tRNA synthetases). tRNAs cope with the degeneracy of the genetic code in two manners: having more than one tRNA (with a specific anti-codon) for a particular amino acid; and 'wobble' base-pairing, i.e. permitting non-standard base-pairing at the 3rd anti-codon position.
Source: Rfam by way of RNAcentral